RNAcentral lists this long non-coding RNA (5835 nucleotides) under Medicago truncatula (barrel medic). RNAcentral's name for it is "long non-coding RNA (MTRU_LNC001070)". Lineage: Eukaryota; Viridiplantae; Streptophyta; Magnoliopsida; Fabales; Fabaceae. The record is from RNAcentral.
GCAUCAAUAUGAACAGCAAAAAUUGCUUCAACAUCUUGAAGAACUCCGUCUUUUAUCAUUUGUGAGGCACCUCUAGCUCCCUCCUCAGCAGGUUGGAAAAGAAGUCUCACAGUUCCCUUUAAUAUUAAUACCAAAGAGUAGGGAAACAGUCUUCAAACAACGUAUUUGACUUUUGAGUACUUAUGUGUUAGAGUCAGAACAUCAAACACACUAACAGAAGAAGCCAUCUAAUUACGUAUGUCAAAACCUGUGCUUCUGACACUAGUUAAAAACAACUCAAUAGCUAAUAUCGAUAUUGUUUAGUUGAUUUAUUUUAUCUAUCCUAAUGGAUCAAAGAGCUCAACAUUUAGUAAGUUUGAUCUAGUUGGGACACUGUUAGUUAAUACAUUUUAGAUUUUACGCAAACUUAUACUUUAGCUAAACUUUUUAUUAUGGAUGCAGUUCAAGUAUUACUAACUUAUAUGAUGAACUUAUGAUCAGGUAAUAUAACAGGUAAUUAGCAUGUCAUGGUAGUCCAAAGUUGUGAAGUAGAGAGUUCAAAGCCUAGAUAAUCUAUUAAUUCUUCCAGAUUCAGUGUGAUUGUGGAAGGUUUAGUAGUUACUAGUUACCUAGCAAAGCUGAGAUACAAAUAUUUAGGUCCGAACCCAAAAUUCAGUACAUAAAAGUAACCUUAACGAAGAAUUAUACUCGAAAGACAGGACUCUGAGGAAUUAGAAGUUAAUUUGUCUAAAGUAUUUCACAGCCCAUUUCAUCAAGCAUUUAACAUGAACACCAAGGCACCAUAUUGAGUAAGUUCAUUAGGGAUGAUCAGACAAAUAGUUACCUAAUUAGAAGAAAACCAAUUAUGUAACUUUGGAGAGUAGAACGGGGAUUUUUCUUUUAAUGUCUUUUUAGCUUUGUGACAUUAUUCAAGAAAACACACGAAGAAGGUUAUUGAUCAAUAAGAUGUAGAAAACGAAAAAAGUAGAGAAUACGAAAGUCCUUAAGAGGAAGUCUAGUGAUAAAACUAAAUGAUAAGAAUACAGAAACAGACAAUUUGAAAAGAACCUUAAGCUUAUCUUUGCGCUGAUUGAGCAACUUUGCAGCCCCUAAUAGCAUAGUAGCAUGAGCAUCAUGUCCACAAGCAUGCAUUCUGCCAUCAAUUUUGCUCUUGUAUUCCCACUCAACAAGUUCCUAACCAAGCAUCACCAACAUCAGAUAAAAAAUAUUACCUUAUUUGAAAAACAAUAUUCUCCUCAAGGAGCAUAAGAACAGUGUAUGUUUGGUUCAAUAACUAGAAUUGAUUCUAAGGUAACUAGCAUUCAGAGCUUUUGCCUCUACAAUUGUUUUUUAGCCUUAAAUUUAUGUACAACUCACUCAUAGCAGAAAUUAAUUUUACAUAAUCAAUUCAUUCAAAAUCAUUUAUCACUACCAAACACACACUUAAGGAGCUAAAAAGGGGUAACCUGCAAAGGGAGUCCAUCGAUAUCAGCACGAAUAGCGAUGAUGGGAGAAGAACCAGAACCAAUUUGAGCAACAAUACCAGUUUUAGCAACUGGAUAUGUAUAAGGUAUACCAAGUUUGUCAAGUUCACUGCGGAUAAGAGCACUUGUGUUGUGUUCUUGGAAAGCCAAUUCUGGGUGUUGAUGAAUCUCUCUUCUCACUGAAACCAACCAAUCUUUUUCCUUCUGGGCUGAACUCAGAAUCUCUUGAGCAUAAGCAUCACACUUCACCACGGUACAGAGGGAAGUGCAUAACAGAAACACAAUAACUACAUGAAUGGCUGCCAUCAAAUGUUGUCUCUUUCUCUGUCCCAAAUUAUUGAUUGUCUCUUUUAACUUCCAAGCCACUCGUUGACCCUUGUUCCUGAAGUGGCAAGCACAACUUCAAGUUCCUGAAAUUGAAAUCAGGUAAUGUUUUCGGGCUAACAAUAUCGACAUUGACGCUGAGCUACAAAGAUGGGUUCUUAUGUUUUUUCUUCUAUGGAAUUAAAAAAAAAUUAUAUUAGCGAGACGUAAAUCUCCCUAAUAUUUAGGUAUAGAAAGCUAUCAGAAAUUAUACUUGAACACAAUCGACAAAUAAUUUGAGCAAAAAUAUUUAGUCACACUUACAAAAGAAAGGAACUUGUCAAAGGUUACACACACAAAGGUUAAGUUAUUUUCGAUUAACAAAAAAUUAGUUGUUUUAUUUUAAGGAGUGGUUAUUUUGGUUCGGUGCAUUGUUCUUUUUUCUUUUGUUCAUUUGUAUUUUUCGUUAGUUUUUAUGGUAAGAUAUGUUAAAAAAAGAAAGCUAGAUGUAAGAACUAAGAAGAAAAAACAACUAAUUUGUUGGGGGGGGACCUACCGUCAAAGAGAAAGAUAUGUUUUCUCUUAGGUUCUCUUCAUUUAUUUACCAUUAAUGUAGUCCACUUACUAAUAUGGGUUUGAUUAAUCUAUCACUUAUGUAUAUCUCUAUCAUAAUUGACGGUAAAUGGAAAGUACAUAAAUGGAGUAAACCCAAACUCGUUUUCUCUAUCAAUGGUCCUUUCGUUGAGAGUGUUCCACCAUGGACAUGGUAGGUCCUACUAAAAAGGAUAUUAAAACAGAAGAUGUUACCAAAGCUUAGAUUUUGGAGAUGUUCCAUAAUUCAAACCACAAACUUUGGUCGCUGGAAGCUCCGGUUACCUACAUUGCGUCUAAAUAUCCCCAUUUUGGCGGUUUUGACACCCUUCGGUGGAUUUUAAUAGAUCCAUCCAUAGAAAACCUCCUCUCUAUCAAAUUGCAAUUGUUAUGCAUCCCUUGUGUGAUUUGUGUCAAUAUGAAAAAUGAGAACAACAAAUUUAAAAAGUGAAACUGGAAUAAAACUGAAAAUGAAGAAAUUGUUCAAAUGUAAAACAACAGAGUUUAUAGACUAGCCAGCUGGGUGGUAAUAGGUGAUACAUAAAUAAUAUUAUACACCAACUAAGUAUGAAUGAUUGACAAUGUAAAAUUUCUUCACCCUUUCAAUGCAUAUCAAAUAAAUCCUAAUAGAUUAAAACUCAAUGCAGCUAGUUUUCCAGUUUGAUUUUGGACCUCAUGCACUCCAUAUCCAUCACUUUUCCUCUGAGAUACCAGGGAUAACGGCCUGCUGCUUAUCCUCUUGUCUGACCUGUGAUGUGGAUACUGUAAUGGGGGCUGGAUCAGAUUGUAGUUCUUCUGGAGCUGAAUUAGUUUGCUCCCCCUCACCACAGUUUGAAACUUCAAGGCUCUCAUCGUUUUUCUUAAAUAAUCGACAUAGCACAUAUGCUUUCUGAUAUAAGUAACAAAAUAAUAAUUAACAGAUUAGUAAUUGUUAUCAUCUUCAUAUAAUUUGACAUAGUAAAAAUAGGAGAGGAUAAUAUUAUAGAGAAUAGACCUGUCCUGGGUUCGUUCCAUCAAGCUCCUCAAGGGUGGGACGAUACUCGUGCAUUACCCAAUUAGACCUCCUCCCGUUAGGUGCACGACUAAUGUAGAAAACUAAUGUCUUCUUCAUCCCAAUCAAGAUGGUUCCAGAUUUGAUUUUACGAUCCUUCCCUGUUGCCUUCCAAUAUCCAUGAUUUGUUUCUCUGUUCAAUCGAUUCCCAUUUGGAUAUUGUCGAUCCUGUGGACAGAAGAAGAACCACUCUGGGUCAUUGUCUUUUAUCACUGACAAAUCUACAACAAACCCAACACAAACCAAGAGAUAAAAAAAAAAAAAAUCAGCAAAAUAAAAAAGCAAUUCAGCACUCCUAUAUGUUACUCAAAUCCUCAUGAUCUAUUCCUUAAACAAUGAAAACAGUCUAAGGUCUUGUUUGGAUAAAUAGCUUAAUUAAAUGUUCAUAGCAUAAGUUCUUAUGUAUAAGUUAAUCCUAUAACAAAAAAAAAAAGCUAAAGUCAUUGUUUUCAUAAAAACUAGUAGUUUAAGCUAUAAGUUGUUGCCAUCAGCUAUCAUGGAAAGCUUAAAGAAAUAGACUGAAAACAGCUUGUGGACAUGUAAUAAGUUGUUUCCAUAAGCUCCUCAAACAAUUUCACAAAUGCCUAUGUAAGUGGAUAAACUUAUGUCAAUCCAAACAGACCCUAAGCAUGCGAUCUAUGCAUAUUAAGCUAAGAAUUUAUCAAAGAAAAACUAUAAGAUUUUCAACUUUACCAAAUCAAGAGGAGAUAAUGUGCGUAAAAAGAGAAAAGAGAAAUACCGGGCAUAUCCCAGGGUUCCCAUUUGCAGACAUCGAUUUCUCGGAUAACCUGAACCUCGUCACCAUUGCCGUUAAUCUUUAAACGAAGGUAGUAAUCGAUAAGUUCCUCGUCUGUAGGUCGGAAUCGGAACCCUAGCGGAAGCGAAAUCAGAGACAACGUCACCAUCUUGCCGAGCAAUGGACAAAACACAAAAGUCAAGACCAUCCAUAAUAUAAAAUGAAAUUGAAUAUUAAUAAAAAAAAUAAAAAAAAGAAUAUCGAUCUCAUCCCGAAAAAGUAUUAACCAAUCAAAUUAAAGUACGAUAUUUAACCAAUCAAAUUUUGGCUAACCAUACAUGAGACAGUUGGCGGUUAUUAUUUAUAAAGGGUUAUUUGCUGCCUCGUGCUAAUCUAGCAUUUCUUAUAAACCGCAUCUCGUAACAAUAAGCAUAUUCUUUCCAAAAAAAAAAUCAGUAAGCAUUAUUAUAGACAUCAUAGAGUAAAUAUUUUUCCUUAAAAAGAUCUUGUUGUAACUAAAUGUUAUGGAUAGAUCUUAUUGUCAAAGUCAAUAUUUUUAAAGUAUCGGUUUCCCUUGAGGGGCUCUGUCAAAUAUUUUAACUGUGAAGAGGAUCGAUUUCCCUUGAGACAAGCUGUUGCAUACCAAUAUUUCAAAUGAUGUAGCCAGCAGUGGAUCGACAGUCAGGUGGAGAAAUGCAGCAUGACCAUUUACCUCAAAAAUGCAUCCAGCAGCUGUAAAAGGCCCUGGAAUCGAUGCUAUGUUUCCCGUAGAUGCCGUAGCAUCAGUAUGAACAGCAAAAAUUGCUUCUACAUCUUGAAGAACACCUUCUUUUAUCAUUUGCGAGGCACCUCUAGCUCCUUCUCAGCAGGUUGGAAAAGAAGUCUCACAGUUCUUUUUAAUGCAAAGGUCGGAAUCAGAGCAUCAAACACGCUAACAGAAUAGAACAUCGUCUACUUACAUCUUUCUUGUGAGGCACCUCUAGGCUCUAGCUCCUUCUCAGCAGGUUGGAAAAGAAGUCUCACAGUUCCCUUUAAUGCAAGGGUCAGAAUCAGAACAUCAAACACACUAACAGAAUAGAACAUAUACUUACAUCUUUCUGAACCUGUGCUUCCACACUAGGCUUAAAAUCUAUAAUAUUUUAUUAAGUUAUUAUAUCUUAAAGGAACAAAGAGUUGAACAUUUAGCAAGUUGGAUCUAGUUGGGACACUAUUGGUUUAUACAUUUUGAAUUUUAUGCCAUUCUACUUUAUAUAAACUUUUAAUUAUGGAUGCAGUUCAAGUAUUACUAACUUCGGGUGAAGUUAUGAUCCGGUAAUUAGCAUGUCAUAGUGGCCCAAAGUUGUGUAGUAGAUAGUUCAAAACCUAGAUAAUCUAUUAACUCAUACCAGAUUCAGUGUGAUUGUGGAAGGUUAAGUAGUUAUCUAGCAGGGCUGAUAUACAAAUACCUACAUCUAAGCCUUUCUGGCCAUGCUUGACCCUAAACCGGAAAUCCAGUUUGGAACACAUGGAAGAAUUAUAAAACGAAAAACGGGAUUCUGCUAGGCGUUGGAAGUCAAUUUGUCUAAACUAUUUCACAGUCCAUUUUGUCAAACAUUUAACAUGAACACUAAGGCGUCAUAUUGUGUUAGUUCAUUAUGGGUGGCCAAACAAAUAGUUAGUUAAUUGGAGAAAGACAAAAAUAAUCAAAAAAU